Molecule: ribosomal RNA, 639 nt
Filed under: Ganoderma podocarpense
Lineage: Eukaryota; Fungi; Basidiomycota; Agaricomycetes; Polyporales; Polyporaceae
Description: LSU rRNA
Rfam family: Eukaryotic large subunit ribosomal RNA
Source: RNAcentral
GACCUCAAAUCAGGUAGGACUACCCGCUGAACUUAAGCAUAUCAAUAAGCGGAGGAAAAGAAACUAACAAGGAUUCCCCUAGUAACUGCGAGUGAAGCGGGAAAAGCUCAAAUUUAAAAUCUGGCGGUCUUUGGCCGUCCGAGUUGUAGUCUGGAGAAGUGCUUUCCGCGCUGGACCGUGUAUAAGUCUCUUGGAACAGAGCGUCAUAGAGGGUGAGAAUCCCGUCUUUGACACGGACUACCAGUGCUUUGUGAUGCGCUCUCAAAGAGUCGAGUUGUUUGGGAAUGCAGCUCAAAAUGGGUGGUGAAUUCCAUCUAAAGCUAAAUAUUGGCGAGAGACCGAUAGCGAACAAGUACCGUGAGGGAAAGAUGAAAAGCACUUUGGAAAGAGAGUUAAACAGUACGUGAAAUUGCUGAAAGGGAAACGCUUGAAGUCAGUCGCGUCGUCCGGAACUCAGCCUUGCUUUUUGCUUGGUGCACUUUCCGGAUGACGGGUCAGCAUCGAUUUUGACCGUCGGAAAAGGGCUGGAGUAAUGUGGCACCUCUGGGUGUGUUAUAGACUCUGGUCGCAUACGGCGGUAGGGAUUGAGGAACGCAGCGCGCCGCAAGGCAGGGGUUCGCCCACUUUCGCGCUUAGGAU